CCAAUAGCGUAUAUUAAAGUUGUUGCAGUUAAAAAGCUCGUAGUUGAAUUUCGGGAUCAGUACGCUGGUCGUGCCUCUGGUAUGUACUGGUGUCACUGAUUCCUCCCUUCUGACGAACCAUCAUGCCAUUCACUUGGUGUGGUGGGAAAUCAGGACUGUUACUUUGAAAAAAUUAGAGUGUUUAAAGCAGGCUCACGCUUGAAUACAUUAGCAUGGAAUAAUGAAAUAGGACGUUGAUCCUAUUUUGUUGGUUUCUAGGAUUGACGUAAUGAUUAAUAGGGAUAGUUGGGGGCAUUAGUAUUCAAUUGUCAGAGGGGAAAUUCUUGGAUUUAUUGAAGACUAACUACUGCGAAAGCAUUUGCCAAGGAUGUUUUAAUUAAUCAAGAACGAAAGUUAGGGGAUCGAAGACGAUCAGAUACCGUCGUAGUCUUAACCAUAAACUAUGCCGACUAGGGAUCGGAUGAUGUUAAUUUUUUAAUGACUCAUUCGGCGCCUUACGA
Molecule: ribosomal RNA, 500 nt
Filed under: uncultured Glomeromycotina
Lineage: Eukaryota; Fungi; Glomeromycota
Description: partial small subunit ribosomal RNA
Rfam family: Eukaryotic small subunit ribosomal RNA
Source: RNAcentral